UAGUCCACGCCGUAAACGAUGAUCACUAGAUGUUGGUUUGGCUUAGCUGAAUCAGUGUCGAAGCUAACGCGUUAAGUGAUCCGCCUGGGGAGUACGAUCGCAAGAUUAAAACUCAAAGAAAUUGACGGGGGUUCGCACAAGCGGUGGAACAUGUGGUUUAAUUCGACACUACGCGAGAAACCUUACCUAGGCUUGACAUGUGAUUGCUACCAGUAGAAAUAUUGGGUUUCGUGGAAACGCGAACGGUCACACAGGUGCUGCAUGGCUGUCGUCAGCUCGUGUCGUGAGAUGUUGGGUUAAGUCCUUUAACGAGCGCAACCCUUAUCGCCAGUUGCUACUCUUCGGAGGCACUCUGGUGAGACUGCCUGGGAAACCAGGAGGAAGGUGGGGAUGACGUCAAGUCCUCAUGGCCCUUAUGUCUAGGGCUACACACGUGUUACAAUGGCAAGUACAACAGGUUGCGAUACCGUAAGGUGGAGCGAAUCCUACAAAGCUUGUCUAAGUUCGGAUU
Molecule: ribosomal RNA, 511 nt
Filed under: uncultured bacterium
Lineage: Bacteria
Description: bacterial SSU rRNA
Rfam family: Bacterial small subunit ribosomal RNA
Source: RNAcentral